CGAGCGGCGGACGGGUGAGUAAUACUUAGGAAUCUACCUAGUAGUGGGGGAUAGCACGGGGAAACUCGUAUUAAUACCGCAUACGACCUACGGGAGAAAGGGGGCAGUUUACUGCUCUCGCUAUUAGAUGAGCCUAAGUCGGAUUAGCUAGAUGGUGGGGUAAAGGCCUACCAUGGCGACGAUCUGUAGCUGGUCUGAGAGGAUGAUCAGCCACACCGGGACUGAGACACGGCCCGGACUCCUACGGGAGGCAGCAGUGGGGAAUAUUGGACAAUGGGGGAAACCCUGAUCCAGCCAUGCCGCGUGUGUGAAGAAGGCCUUUUGGUUGUAAAGCACUUUAAGCAGUGAAGAAGACUCCGUGGUUAAUACCCACGGACGAUGACAUUAGCUGCAGAAUAAGCACCGGCUAACUCUGUGCCAGCAGCCGCGGUAAUACAGAGGGUGCAAGCGUUAAUCGGAAUUACUGGGCGUAAAGGGAGCGUAGGUGGCUCUAUAAGUCAGAUGUGAAAUCCCCGGGCUCAACCUGGGAACUGCAUCUGAAACUGUAGAGCUAGAGUAUGUGAGAGGAAGGUAGAAUUCCAGGUGUAGCGGUGAAAUGCGUAG
RNAcentral lists this ribosomal RNA (603 nucleotides) under Psychrobacter sp. RNAcentral describes it as "bacterial SSU rRNA". It matches the Rfam family "Bacterial small subunit ribosomal RNA", at positions 92 to 693 of the family's 1533-position model. The record is from RNAcentral. Lineage: Bacteria; Pseudomonadati; Pseudomonadota; Gammaproteobacteria; Moraxellales; Moraxellaceae.